Molecule: long non-coding RNA, 393 nt
Organism: Oncorhynchus tshawytscha (Chinook salmon)
Lineage: Eukaryota; Metazoa; Chordata; Actinopteri; Salmoniformes; Salmonidae
Source: Ensembl
CUUCUCAAAUAGACAAUAGAUUUUCUAAUCUUAUUCUGUAACAGUGUCUCUGUUGUUCUCAAAAUGAAGGUCUCUGCAUGACUUAGUCUUCUUCUUAUAUCAGAAAUAGGGGGACAUUUGGGACCUAGAUUUAGUCUUCCAGCUGGUUAAUACUGGUUGUGUUGGUCUCUUCUUCUCCUCCAGCUGGUUAAUACUGGUUGUGUUUGUCUCUUCUCCUCCUCCAGCUGGUCCAGAGGUUAAUACCGGUUGUGUUGGUCUCUUCUUCUCCUCCAGCUGGUUAAUACCGGUUGUGUUUGUCUCUUCUCCUCCUCCAGCUGGUUAAUACUGGUUGUGUUUGUCUCUUCUUCUCCUCCAGCUGGUUAAUACUGGUUGUGUUUGUCUCUUCUUCUCCUC